This 574-nucleotide ribosomal RNA is filed under the name Colletotrichum sp. D9a5b. RNAcentral describes it as "eukaryotic LSU rRNA". The stretch from base 219 to 372 matches the Rfam family "5.8S ribosomal RNA". The record is from RNAcentral. Lineage: Eukaryota; Fungi; Ascomycota; Sordariomycetes; Glomerellales; Glomerellaceae.
UUAGAGGAAGUAAAAGUCGUAACAAGGUCUCCGUUGGUGAACCAGCGGAGGGAUCAUUACUGAGUUACCGCUCUAUAACCCUUUGUGAACAUACCUACAAGUUGCUUCGGCGGUCGGCCCCCCGGGCCCCCGGCCCCGCUAACGCGGGGCGUCCGCCGGAGGAUAACCAAACUCUGAUUUAACGACGUUUCUUCUGAGUGGCACAAGCAAAUAAUCAAAACUUUUAACAACGGAUCUCUUGGUUCUGGCAUCGAUGAAGAACGCAGCGAAAUGCGAUAAGUAAUGUGAAUUGCAGAAUUCAGUGAAUCAUCGAAUCUUUGAACGCACAUUGCGCCCGCCAGCAUUCUGGCGGGCAUGCCUGUUCGAGCGUCAUUUCAACCCUCAAGCGCUGCUUGGCGUUGGGGCUCUACGGUUGACGUAGGCCCCCAAAACUAGUGGCGGACCCUCUCGGAGCCUCCUUUGCGUAGUAACUUUUGUCUCGCACUGGGAUUCGGAGGGACUCUAGCCGUUAAACCCCCAAUUUUCCAAAGGUUGACCUCGGAUCAGGUAGGAAUACCCGCUGAACUUAAGCAUA